CCACACAUGUGAAACGUGCUGCAAUUAAGCUCGCCUCUCCAGUAUGGAGGAUGAUGGCUGAAAUAUAAACACAGGAAGGUUGACCUUCCCACAAAGCUGGCAAGUCAGGUGUCAUGUGCUUUCCUUUUUGUUGGUAGAUCUGCAGUUUCAUCUAUUUUCCUCCAAUUUUCCAGGACCUUGGCUAAGGGCAUCCCCUUUCCUACACCAGAUAUAUUUCCCAUUUUUAGCCUGCUCCCAAGCCUGAAUCUAGGAGUGGAAACUGAAGACUCGCUGGUUAGCACCUCCCAUCCCCAAAGUCCCAGUGAACUCACCCACUGCUGGCAGCCAGAUGCUUUGAGGCGGGAGGGUCUGAUGGCCAUCACCUAUAGGGUCCCACCUGGGUCUCCAGAAACCGUGGCAGCACUUGCACUCCUGUCACCUUGUGCUGAAGGAAUCAUGCUGCUGCCCCCUCCAACAUUCUCUGGUUCAAGCUUUGACUUCUGCUUUCAGUAGGUCACUCUGACUGUCCCUUAUCCUCAUUUGUUUGCAGUUCUUGUGAUUUACAGCCCAAGGCGAACAUCUCUUAAGAAGAAUUCCGUUACUUUCAAUCCCAUAGUUUUCAUGAGUUGCCACAACCCCAUCCUUGCAUAGUUCCAUCUCAAAUUGUCCUUUUUAACCAAUCUAAUUUUCUGGGCCUGUGUCUCUCCCUCUUCAUUCACCCGUUCAUUCCCAGUUCCAGGUGGUGCUUCCUGGGCAGCAUCUUUCCAGAACAGGCAGUACUUCUCCACGUGUUGCUAUACAGAUCUUAUCCCGUCAUUCUUGAUGUCUCCUGAAACUUAUCCAGUUGAAUCCUCUUCUUCGCUGUUAACAGCGAGCUUUUGCAACGAGGAGAAAGCUACGUUUCUAUACAACCUCAUUUACUUUAGUUACUAGUGCUAAGUCUCUUCCUACAGCAUAACACCAGGGUUGUCCAGUCCCAUGUGCAGAAUCAGGCAGUUGCUCUUGUUAAAUUUCCCACGUUUGCUGAUUGCCCUCUCAUUAGACAAGAUUUCUCUGCAAGGCUUCUACACUUUAGGCUGUGUGAGCUUCACAGGUUGUGAUCGUUACUGCUGCACGCACUGAUUCCAGCAGCCUGAGGGAAGCCCUGACGAUGGGUCACCUGCAGAAGGAAAAUCAUGGAGAUAGCUGCCAGAUCAUGUCAACUCCCAGAAGAGUGACCACCCUCUCUGUGAAGAACCUUUUUCCAGUAUCCAAUCGGAAAUCCCCCUGACGCAGCUUCAUGCAGUUCCCCCAGGUCCUACUGCUGGUCACCAGGUGAAAGUGAUCUCUGCUUUUCUCCCUGUUUCCUACUGUGAGGAAGCUGUAGGCCACAGUGACGUUAGCUCUUGAUAUCCUGUUCUUUCUGCUGAACAAACCAGAUGACCUCAUACGUACUGCCAUAGGCAAUGCUAUGCCUGAUAGCCAGCAGGAUACAGUUGGCCUUUCUGAUGACCAGGGCACACUGUUGACUCACAUUCAACUUUGUCACCAACCAGAACCCCCUGAACGUUUCCACAGAGCUCUUCUCCAUCCGCUCCUGCCCCAGUCUGUACAUACAUCCAUGCUUCUCCUGUCCUAGGUGCAGAAUCCAUCACUUGCUCUUGCUAAAUUUCAUACAGCUGAUGAUUGCUCGGCCCUCUAAUUCUUGGACUCUGACUGCAGCCUGAUUGCGCAGCCAGCCUCCUGUAUCUCGCUUUAUGCUGUCGUGUAAGAGGAUGUAUUCUAACUGUUGAGUCCUGGCCUGAACCACUGACUGAGACCUGGGGAAAAGACUCGGGCAGCCCUGAGAGCACAGGAGAAGGCAAUCCACCUGUGUGACCAGAAGGGCUGGAGCCUGGCUGCACCUCCCUUAGACCUCGCUGAAGGGCUGACUGCCACCGGGGAAGGUUUUCUUUCCAGAGAUCCCUCCUCUGCAGAGUUUUCCCCCCGUGAGCCUAGAUCUCUGGAGACAGGCGAGCAGUCCUCUUUUCCUUCCCUUAUAACACCUUUCUAUUGUGUUCAGUCCCUUUCUCAUUACACCUCUUGUAUCA
Long non-coding RNA from Gallus gallus (chicken), 2048 nucleotides. The record is from Ensembl. NCBI's taxonomy places the organism in Eukaryota, Metazoa, Chordata, Aves, Galliformes, Phasianidae.